RNAcentral lists this ribosomal RNA (253 nucleotides) under uncultured bacterium. RNAcentral's name for it is "partial 16S ribosomal RNA". It matches the Rfam family "Bacterial small subunit ribosomal RNA", at positions 524 to 776 of the family's 1533-position model. The record is from RNAcentral.
UACGGAGGGUGCAAGCGUUAUCCGGAUUCACUGGGUUUAAAGGGUGCGUAGGCGGGCAGGUAAGUCAGUGGUGAAAUCUUUGGGCUUAACCCGAAAACUGCCAUUGAUACUAUCUGUCUUGAAUAUUGUGGAGGUUUGCGGAAUAUGUCAUGUAGCGGUGAAGUGCUUAGAUAUGACAUAGAACACCUAUUGCGAAGGCAGCAAACUACGCAUAUAUUGACGCUGAGGCACGAAAGCGUGGGGAUCAAACAGG